GCAGUCGACGGUAAGGCCCUUCGGGGUACACGAGUGGCGAACGGGUGAGUAACACGUGGGUGAUCUGCCCUGCACUUUGGGAUAAGCCUGGGAAACUGGGUCUAAUACCGGAUAGGACCACGGCCUUCAUGGGUUGUGGUGGAAAGCUUUUGCGGUGUGGGAUGGGCCCGCGGCCUAUCAGCUUGUUGGUGGGGUAAUGGCCUACCAAGGCGACGACGGGUAGCCGGCCUGAGAGGGUGUCCGGCCACACUGGGACUGAGAUACGGCCCAGACUCCUACGGGAGGCAGCAGUGGGGAAUAUUGCACAAUGGGCGCAAGCCUGAUGCAGCGACGCCGCGUGAGGGAUGACGGCCUUCGGGUUGUAAACCUCUUUCAGUAGGGACGAAGCGCAAGUGACGGUACCUAUAGAAGAAGCACCGGCCAACUACGUGCCAGCAGCCGCGGUAAUACGUAGGGUGCGAGCGUUGUCCGGAAUUACUGGGCGUAAAGAGCUCGUAGGUGGUUUGUCGCGUUGUUCGUGAAAACUCACAGCUUAACUGUGGGCGUGCGGGCGAUACGGGCAGACUGGAGUACUGCAGGGGAGACUGGAAUUCCUGGUGUAGCGGUGGAAUGCGCAGAUAUCAGGAGGAACACCGGUGGCGAAGGCGGGUCUCUGGGCAGUAACUGACGCUGAGGAGCGAAAGCGUGGGGAGCGAACAGGAUUAGAUACCCUGGUAGUCCACGCCGUAAACGGUGGGUACUAGGUGUGGGUUUCCUUCCUUGGGAUCCGUGCCGUAGCUAACGCAUUAAGUACCCCGCCUGGGGAGUACGGCCGCAAGGCUAAAACUCAAAGGAAUUGACGGGGGCCCGCACAAGCGGCGGAGCAUGUGGAUUAAUUCGAUGCAACGCGAAGAACCUUACCUGGGUUUGACAUGCACAGGACGCCGGCAGAGAUGUCGGUUCCCUUGUGGCCUGUGUGCAGGUGGUGCAUGGCUGUCGUCAGCUCGUGUCGUGAGAUGUUGGGUUAAGUCCCGCAACGAGCGCAACCCUUGUCUCAUGUUGCCAGCACGUUAUGGUGGGGACUCGUGAGAGACUGCCGGGGUCAACUCGGAGGAAGGUGGGGAUGACGUCAAGUCAUCAUGCCCCUUAUGUCCAGGGCUUCACACAUGCUACAAUGGCCGGUACAAAGGGCUGCGAUGCCGUGAGGUGGAGCGAAUCCUUUCAAAGCCGGUCUCAGUUCGGAUCGGGGUCUGCAACUCGACCCCGUGAAGUCGGAGUCGCUAGUAAUCGCAGAUCAGCAACGCUGCGGUGAAUACGUUCCCGGGCCUUGUACACACCGCCCGUCACGUCAUGAAAGUCGGUAACACCCGAAGCCGGUGGCCUAACCCCUUGUGGAGGAGCCGUCGAAGGUGAUAGG
Molecule: ribosomal RNA, 1396 nt
Filed under: Mycobacterium sp.
Lineage: Bacteria; Bacillati; Actinomycetota; Actinomycetes; Mycobacteriales; Mycobacteriaceae
Description: bacterial SSU rRNA
Rfam family: Bacterial small subunit ribosomal RNA
Source: RNAcentral